ACCACCCCGGUGAAACAGCCUACCAAGAACCNNAACAGAGCCGGCAUCAGGUNGACACACCCAUAACGCCAAGCAACANNNAGCCACACCCACACGGGCCCGCAGCAGUACUUAAUACUAGGCCAUAAGCGUAANNNNNGCUUGACCUGAUAAUGGGGUUNAUACANGGGCCGGUUAAUCUCNGUGCCAGCGACCGCGGUUACACGACAGACCCAAGAUAACGUCACCGGCGUAAAGCACGACUAAAAUAACAGUUUAAUAAAACNUAGGGCUGAAGACNAUACUGGGCCGUAAAAAGCCAUAAGUCACACNUAAACUACCACCCUAACAAAUCAAANCCAUUUCAACUCGUGAAAGCAGGGGGACAAACUAAGAUUAGAUACCUUACUAUGCCCCGCCGUAACCAGGCAAUCAAAUAACCAAUUGCCCGCCAAAUAACUACGAGUAAAAACUUAAAAUUUAAAAGACUUGACGGUACUUCACAACAGCCUAGAGGAGCCUGUCUAAUAACCGAUAAUCCACGAUUAACCCAACCCGUUUUUGCCCAANCAGUCUAUAUACCGCCGUCGCCAGCUUGCCUUGUAAAAGAAACAAANGCAAGCCAAAUAGUANUAACACUAGCACGACAGGUCGAGGUGUAACAAAUAAACGGGCCCAAGAUGGGCUACAUUUUCUNUAUCAGAAGAAACGAAUAUANGUAUGAAACAACAACCUGAAGGUGGAUUUAGCAGUAAGAUAAAAAUANGAAUGUUUACCUGAAANCNAUGCAAUGAAGUGCGUACACACCGCCCGUCAUCCCUGUAANNAACAACACCAACAUUCAUAAACCCACANAAUACUCCAAAGCAGGGCAAGUCGUAACAC
This 864-nucleotide ribosomal RNA is filed under the name Bitia hydroides. Its description in RNAcentral is "partial 12S ribosomal RNA". Lineage: Eukaryota; Metazoa; Chordata; Lepidosauria; Squamata; Homalopsidae. The record is from RNAcentral.